Long non-coding RNA from Scatophagus argus, 1410 nucleotides. RefSeq lists it as uncharacterized. The transcript is spliced from 4 exons. The record is from RefSeq and is a predicted model, not a curated record. NCBI's taxonomy places the organism in Eukaryota, Metazoa, Chordata, Actinopteri, Scatophagidae.
GAGCUCAAAGUGCUGAAGAGACUGUAGUAGCUCUGGACCCGAUGAGCCAAUCACAGUGAAGGACGAGGACAAAGACACACAAAGAACCUGUGGUGAAGUCACAGGUGACGUUAAUGUCAGUCUGAACACAGCUGAAGAUUUGAUUUCUUUGUGCUGCCUCAUUUAAUGAACCUUCAGAAAAGAGAAACAGAGCCCUGAGUCUGGACUGACAGGAACCCAGCAGACCAGGCUCACAGCACCACAUCCAUUUCCUGACAACAUCCUGACGUGUCUGUGGACGGAGACAUUUCCACAGCGAGGUCUCACUCUGUCAUCUGAAUUAUGGACGAGCUCUUCUUUUUCUUCUUCUUUUCUUUCCUCCUUCAUGUUUCUGGUUUUGAUGAAGCUUGAAGCUGAAUGUGUGAUGAGCUUCAUCGUGGGGAGUCUCAUGUGAGAAGACAUUCAACUUUAAUACGUGUCUGAUCUGAGACAGAGAGAAGUCUUCCUGUUCCCUGCAUCAGGACUCAGGAUUCAGACCGGCUGGAGGCCCUUGAGGGAUUGUCUUCUGUUCAAAGGCACUCCACCCUCCUCUUCGUACUCUGCUCUUCUUCUUCAUGAACAGAAGCUAAUGUAUACGACAUCAGAUGGAGGAGAAGGGGAUGACUGCUGACUUUGCCUCGGUGGGGGGGGUGUGUCAUCGAUAAUUACAGCUGAAGCCCAGCAAGCUCUCAACCAGAACCAAACAUCCUGGACCAGCUGACACUCCCAAUACUCCCAGUAACCCCUGACACCCCAGCACCACCCUCCUCCACCCCCCACUGACAGGCUGGUUCAUUUUAAAUGAAUGUUAGCACCCGCUGAUCAGCAGCUGAGACGGCGACAGGAUGUUUCGUCACAGCGAUGUGGGAGUCUGUGAGGAGCUGGAGUUGAUGUGAUCGACUCCCCAGUGGGGUUUUCUGCGGGGGGUCCGUACUUAAUAUUAUGCAUCACCAUUCAAACUGAUGCAGCAGGAGCAGAAAUAUCAUCUUUUUAUCCAUUUCUGCUCAGGUGGAGAGAAAACAGGUGAGGUAACAACAAGACGUGAGGAGAAUGAAGUUCCAAAGUGAAAGAGCAAAUACACACUGCAACAUGAGGCACAAACUACAUCUAAACUACAUCCGGGACUGCAGGUGGAGGAUUUUUACUGCUGGUUCUUACUUACUAACUUACUGAUCCAAAUCAAAAUCGUUUCAAACAUUUUCACAACAUAUUUAAAGUGAAUGUUUCCCAAAUCAAAGCCGUGGAGCGAGCUGUGAGUCGGCUCGGCUGUUGGUCUUCUGCCUUACGAGACUCUGGUUCACGCUGUGGCAGGUGCAAUGGGGAGUGUGACAGCUAUGACCGUCUUCUUCCCUUUGGACACGGCCAAAAGCAGACUGCAGGUGGAUGAGAAGC